This 492-nucleotide ribosomal RNA is filed under the name uncultured bacterium. RNAcentral describes it as "partial 16S ribosomal RNA". It matches the Rfam family "Bacterial small subunit ribosomal RNA", at positions 29 to 507 of the family's 1533-position model. The record is from RNAcentral.
AGUGAACGCUGGCGGUAGGCCUAACACAUGCAAGUCGAACGGCAGCACAGUAAGAGCUUGCUCUUACGGGUGGCGAGUGGCGGACGGGUGAGGAAUACAUCGGAAUCUACUUUUUCGUGGGGGAUAACGUAGGGAAACUUACGCUAAUACCGCAUACGACCUACGGGUGAAAGCAGGGGAUCUUCGGACCUUGCGCGAUUGAAUGAGCCGAUGUCGGAUUAGCUAGUUGGCGGGGUAACGGCCCACCAAGGCGACGAUCCGUAGCUGGUCUGAGAGGAUGAUCGGCCACACUGGAACUGAGACACGGUCCAGACUCCUACGGGAGGCAGCAGUGGGGAAUAUUGGACAAUGGGCGCAAGCCUGAUCCAGCCAUACCGCGUGGGUGAAGAAGGCCUUCGGGUUGUAAAGCCCUUUUGUUGGGAAAGAAAAGCAGCAGGUUAAUACCCCGCUGUUCUGACGGUACCCAAAGAAUAAGCACCGGCUAACUUCGUG